This is a non-coding RNA of Zootoca vivipara (common lizard), 4851 nucleotides long. The record is from RefSeq and is a predicted model, not a curated record. NCBI's taxonomy places the organism in Eukaryota, Metazoa, Chordata, Lepidosauria, Squamata, Lacertidae.
UCAAGACAACGUGGUAUGGGAUUAAAAUUGGCCACAACUUUAUUAAGUUUCAGAUGUAAGGAGACCUUGGCUCAGGCAUUGGCCGUUUAUCCUUCCCAGUCCCCAGCCAAGCUAAAAUAAGGCCAGACAUUGAGGUGGAAAAUGAGCAUUUGGCCCAGAGUAUUGAAGACAUUUGCUCCAAUUUAUUUGGGUCUGAAUAAAGACAAUGGUUUACAAAUGUAAAUUCACUCAGCACUACAAAGCCUAUCAUUGCUAUCCUAAAGGGUUAUCCUGCCUUCAUUGUAGCUCAAAUGUAAACAGUCCCUAUCUGCAUUUCUAGCAUUUCAUUUCCUUCUGACCCACUGCAUCCAACUCCCCUUCCUUUGCCCUCCCCACACCCCUGUAAUUGAGAAUCACACCAUGUAUGUGAAGAAAUAGACUCUAGUUCAGCUCAAGCACAUCUCCCCACACCCCUGUAAUUGAGAAUCACACCAUGUAUGUGAUAAAAUAGACUCUAGUUCAGCUCGUCUUGUGCCAGAAUAACAAAUGUUUGGUCCUUUGAGGUGCCUCCGCCGGACUCUCUUGGUUUUUUUGUUCUUGUUUCUCCUCCGAGCAACUGAUUCAGCAAAGCCAAUAUUAGCUCCUGAUAAAGGCUGCAAUACUAAACCCAAUUAAGUAACUUGGUGGGUGGGGAUGGCUACAUGCUAUUUAAUCCAAUGCAACUGUUUUCUGAGCAGCCAUAGGACUGCAGAUCACAACAUUGUCAACUUGGGAAGUGUGCCUCAUAUGAUUACAGCUGCUACCUGGGAGCAAGGCACAUAAAGUUUCAGUGAAUUCUGAAUAAAAGUACCACAAGCAGAGUGCUCUUUCUUCCAAAAACAACUUGCUCAUCAGAGGAAGACUGUGAGGUCUCUGACAGACACAGUAAAGAACAAUGAAUGCGACAGAAGAAGCUGAAGCUCUGAAAAUGUUAUUUCGGAAUCAGCAUGCAUUUCUAAUUCCAAAGAUUAUGCUCACUGCCUCUGAUCUUGGUGUAUUUGAUCUGCUGAUGGAAUCCAAGGAACCGUUGACUUCAGUGACUAUUGCUGAACGUCUGGGUACCAGUCCCUUUGGGAUGGAGAGACUGCUGGACGCCUGUGUUGGCUACAAGUUCCUGCAAGUGGAGAGGAAGGACAACCAAACGCUUUAUGGAAAUACCAACCUUGCCAAUCUCUACCUUGGCAAAAGAAGCCCAAGGACUCAGUAUUAUUCUUUGAAGUUCAGUGCUGAAUUUACCUAUAUGAGAGCACAACACCUAGCUGAUGCUGUGAGGGAAGGAGAACCUCAGACAUAUAGAAUAAAUGACAUUUCUACAAGAAAUUUCUAUGAGGCUUUUUACAGAACAGAGAGCGGCUUGCGAGAAUUCAUGAAACUUAUGCAUGAGAUGUGGCGUCUGUGGAGUGGAGUUGUGUUGAAUGCAUUUGAUCUUUCUCAUUUCCCACUCGUUUGUGAUGUGGGAGGAUGUACUGGUGCCCUAGCAAAUAAAUGUAUUUCAUUGUAUCCAAAUUCUACUGUGACCAUUUUCGACCUACCUGAAGUAGUGGAAACAGGAAAGAAGCAUUUUGUCUCCUCAGAGGAACACCGGAUUACUUUUCAUGGAGGUGAUUUUUUUAAAGACCCAAUUCCAGAAGCUGACCUGUAUAUAUUGUCUAGGACCCUGCACUGCUUUGCAGAUGAGAAGUGUGUGCAACUGCUAACUAGACUGCACAAAGCCUGCAAGCCUGGUGGUGGAGUUCUAGUAGUGGAAAUAGUUCUCAAUGAAGACAGAACAGGGCCAUUGGAAGCUCAUAUAUGCAGUAUGGUUAUGCUGCUUGUUAAUCAAGGGAAAGAACGGACCCUGACAGAGCACAAUGCGCUCCUCAGUGCCGCUGGCUUUAAGGAGAUUCAGCAAAAGAAAACAGGCCUCUUUGACGCCAUUUUAGGAAGAAAAUAACAUUGGCCAAGAACAUUCUGUGAGCGUCGUGACUGAACAGAUAUAUUUCUGCCCGAUUCUUUGUAGCCAUAACUGAACAUACUUAAUCACUUUACUUUUAUUGUUGUUGCAAAUCCUCAUCAUGUGGAAAUAUCUCCUCCACCCCCUUGCUUAUCAUUAUGGUUGAACACUGAGAAGCUAAAAUAAUAAAAAAAAUUGUUAUCGUACAUGUUAACCACCGUUGUAAGUAGUUAUUACCUUCAUUUCCCUGCUUGCUUCCCCACCCCCACCCCAGGAGCACAUGAGCCAAACCAGGAAAAAGAAAGAGGUUGUAUCCCAUAUUGCCUCAGGUUAUGUAUGUAUGUAUGUAUGUAUGUACGUAUGUACGUAUGUAUGUAUGUAUGUCUUCAUAGCGCCCGGCAUGGUUGCCCCAGGGGGCGUGGAGGGCAAUAACAGGAGGACGCAGCAGGCCGGGAAUGCCGCCUUCCAAUCAGUCCAAUCGGAGGGGUACAAGACUGUUGCUUCUUCCUCAGUUUUGUGAGGCUGGGAUGUCGGAUCGGACUUACAAAGCAUUGAGGGGCUGAUAUGGACCAAGUGAGGAGCAAAGUGCUCUCUUGGAAAAACUGUGCCUGAGGCAAUGGCCCCCCUCAGUCUGCCCACGUGAAACUGGGCCGGAGUGAAACUGCUACAUCGCAAGUACUGAAGACAUUCACUCCAAUUCAUUUGAGUCUAAAUAAAGACAAUGAUUUGCAUGUGUAAAUUCACUCAGCACUACCAAGUCGGUUUCUUUCAUGGCCUAUCAUAGCUAUCCAAAACAGGUCCAUGUCCUUAUCCGGCCUACAGUGUGGCACAAAUCUGAAUGGUUCCUAUCUGUGUUUUUAGCAUUUCAUGACCCUCUGACCCCACUCAUACAAUUCCCCUUCCAAUGCCCACCCAGCACCUCUUUCCACAUCCAAGGGUCACUCUGGGUCACACCUGCUCCUGUUGCUCUGAAAAGCCCCUUGGCCUCCUUGAUGUUAACAUCCCUCUGUUAUGUAAUGCAUGCUGGGCUUGGCACACCCAAGCCGGGCCCGAUUUAGCCCUUUCAGUUAAGCAUGGUCACUCUUCUUACACCCCAAGUUCCCUCCCAGUAACAGUGCCAAGCUGGCCUCCCUUUUCAGUUAGCUGCAGAUUUCCAUGGGAGCUGUCAGAACUGAGAAAAUCUUUUUGGGAAAUUUGGAAUAAAAUGUACUUGUCUUUGUUAGGAUGAAUAUCAGUUAUUAAGAUGAAUGUACUGUAAAAAUGUUGUUUUUAUUCCAAGCAAUCCUGGUAACAAGCAAUAUGGGAUGCUUCAAAGAUAAGGAUAUUUCAAAAUUUGUAUGACGGGGCAAAAGCCAUGAAUAAAGUAACAGAUAUUAAAGGUAGCGGAGGCUUCUCCCUGCCAGAUCUGAAAUUAUAUUAUGUAGCCUCCUGUUUUUGCUGGAUCCAGGAAUGGAUAAAAUUUUAAAAUACAUAUUUAUUAGAUUUGGAAGGCUCUGACAAUAGAUUUGGCUGGCAUGUGUACUUAUGGUAUGAAAAAGCAAGAGUACCUCAAAGCUUUUGAAAUCAUAUUAUAAGGAAAGCGAUUUUUAAAGUUUGGGAAAAGUAUAAAGGAUUAUUAGAACAAAAAACACCAUGGUGGCUUUCUCUAUUAAAGGCAAUAUCAGGGGGGAAAUUAAAUAUGGACACUAAAUGGGCUACAUAUAGAGAGUUAUUAAUUGAAUCAGAAAGCCAAUUAAAAUUGAAAGAAUUUAACAAAGUUAGAGAGAAUGUAACAGGUUGGUUACAAUAUUUUCAAUUAAAUGAAAUAUUCUGUAUGAAAUUUCAACUUUCCAGAGAGAAAUAAUAGAAAAUGAUACCAAGUUAAUAUAAAAAAUGUAUAAUCUGUUGCUGGAAUAGGAAGCAAAAGAUGAAGAUGUUAAAUCAGUUACCAUUAAAUGGGCACAAGAUGUGGGACACAAUAUUCAAAUGGAGGAAUGGGAUAAACUAUGGUAGAAUGAGGUAAAAUUUGAGUGGACAGGUGAAUUCCCCCCGAAACCCCGGUGACCCCCGAGCGUAAUAAUGACUCAAGACAACGUGCUAUGGGAUUAAAAUUGGCCACAACUUUAUUAAGUUUCAGAUGUAGGGUGACCUUGGCUCAGGCAUUGGCUGUUUAUCCUUCCCAGCCAAGCUAAAUUAAGGCCAGACAUUGAGGUGGAAAAUGAGCAUUUGGCCCAGAGUAUUGAAGACAUUCGCUCCAGUUUAUUUGGCUCUGAAUAAAGACAAUGGUUUGCAGGUGUAAAUUCACUCAGCACUACAAAGCCUAUCAUUGCUAUCCUAAAGGGAUAUCCUGCCUUCAUUGUAGCUCGAAUGGUAAACAGUUCCUAUCUGCAUUUCUGGCAUUUCAUUUCCCUCUGACCCACUGCAUCCAGCUCCCCUUCCUUUGCCCUCCCCACACCCCUGUAAUUGAGAAUCACACCAUGUAUAUGAAGAAAUAGGCUCAAGUUCAGCUCGUCUUGUGCCGGAAUAAGAAAUAUUUGGUCCUUUGAGGUGCCUCAGGACUCUCUUGGUUUUUUUUGUUCUUGUUUCUCCUCCGAGCAACUGAUUCAGCAAAGCCAAUAUUAGCUCCCGAUAAACGCUGCAAUCCUAAACCCAAUUAAGUAACUUGGUGGGUGGGGAUGGCUACAUGCUAUUUAAUCCAAUGCAGCUGGUUUCUGAACGGCCAUAGGACUGCAGAUCACAACAUUGUCAUCUUGGGAAGUGUGCCUCAUUCGAUUACAGCUGCUACCUGGGAGCAAGGCACAUAAAGAUUAUGUUCACUGCCUCUGAUCUUGGUGUAUUUGAUCUGCUGAUGGAAUCCAAGGAACCAUUGACUUCAGUGACUAUUGCCGAACGUCUGGGUACCAGUCCCUUUGGGAUGGAGA